AAAAAAACGGGGGAGCAAAGCAAGCAAUCAGCAACCUCAGAUAUUAAAACUACUUGAAUACUUGCAUGGACCUACCAACCAAUGUCUCCAAGUUACUUGGGUCCAUGCUUCUUCUGGGUAGGAUCACCUGUCAGUGUACCACAGCAGAGUGAAUUCAAGAGGAGGAGCAUCCCUGUUCCGUUAGAAAGAGACACCACACUUUGGAGAAGUGAAGUAAGUGUCUUGGCCACUGCUCACUAGGAGAGGAAUCUCCAUGCAAUUGCUUGGGAG
This 270-nucleotide long non-coding RNA is filed under the name Anser brachyrhynchus (Pink-footed goose). RNAcentral describes it as "lncRNA (ENSABRG00000016626.1)". Lineage: Eukaryota; Metazoa; Chordata; Aves; Anseriformes; Anatidae. The record is from RNAcentral.